AGGAUUAUAGUUUAUAAAAUAAAACAUUUGAUUUGCAUUCAAAAAAUAUUAAAUUAUUUAAUUUAUCUUA
RNAcentral lists this transfer RNA (70 nucleotides) under Monema flavescens. RNAcentral describes it as "tRNA-Ala". The record is from RNAcentral. Lineage: Eukaryota; Metazoa; Arthropoda; Insecta; Lepidoptera; Limacodidae.